CAUGCAAGUCGAGCGCACCUUCGGGUGAGCGGCGGACGGGUUAGUAACGCGUGGGAACGUACCCUUUUCUACGGAAUAGCCUUUGGAAACGAAGAGUAAUACCGUAUACGCCCUUCGGGGGAAAGAUUUAUCGGAGAAGGAUCGGCCCGCGUUAGAUUAGAUAGUUGGUGGGGUAACGGCCUACCAAGUCUACGAUCUAUAGCUGGUUUUAGAGGAUGAUCAGCAACACUGGGACUGAGACACGGCCCAGACUCCUACGGGAGGCAGCAGUGGGGAAUCUUAGACAAUGGGCGCAAGCCUGAUCUAGCCAUGCCGCGUGAGUGAUGAAGGCCUUAGGGUCGUAAAGCUCUUUCGCCUGUGAUGAUAAUGACAGUAGCAGGUAAAGAAACCCCGGCUAACUCCGUGCCAGCAGCCGCGGUAAUACGGAGGGGGUUAGCGUUGUUCGGAAUUACUGGGCGUAAAGCGCACGUAGGCGGAUUGGAAAGUUGGGGGUGAAAUCCCGGGGCUCAACCCCGGAACUGCCUCCAAAACUAUCAGUCUAGAGUUCGAGAGAGGUGAGUGGAAUUCCAAGUGUAGAGGUGAAAUUCGUAGAUAUUUGGAGGAACACCAGUGGCGAAGGCGGCUCACUGGCUCGAUACUGACG
RNAcentral lists this ribosomal RNA (643 nucleotides) under uncultured bacterium. RNAcentral's name for it is "bacterial SSU rRNA". It matches the Rfam family "Bacterial small subunit ribosomal RNA", at positions 54 to 745 of the family's 1533-position model. The record is from RNAcentral.